CUUUGAAGGAAAUUAGAGCUCUCCUUUGGGGAUCACUGGCUUUCUUUUCUGGUGAACAGCACAGAACCUGGCGCUGGGACAGAGAGGAAGGGGUAAUGGGUAUCUUUGCCAAACUCAUGACUACACAGAAUGGAUAGCCAAGUUGGAAUUUUUACCAGAGACCAAGAGCAGGCCAAGUCAAUGAUGAGUAGAGUCUGAGGAAAGCCAAGACAAUUUGGAGGUUCCUUCAAACUGGAGUCUGGAGGCGUGACUUCAAACUACUUAAAAUGAGAUAAGCUGCAGACCAGUGGUGCACAGGUAGAUAAGCAGACAAAGCAGGAAAUCCUAGAUACAGGACAGCUCUUCUCUGAAGUCUUCAGUUUGAGAAUCAUUCGGAAUUACACCAAGUCUACUUCUUCCCUGUUGAAGGGGGAAGAAAAAAAAAAGAAGCAAUCUGAAGUACAAUUAAUGUCUGUCCUCCAAAGGCUGGAAGUCAUCAGGAAUGGAAGUCCUGGUAGAUGAAUUCACUACCACAGAGUUGCUGUUUUCUGUCUCAGAGGUUAAGAGAGGGAUGGAUUCAUCCAACUCCUGGAGUAGAGAGCUGAGAAAAACCACAAAAAUGUCUUCAGAAGCAGCAACCUCAGAAGAGUCAAGUAGGAAUUAGAGUAAAUAAGCCUGUGGUUGGCAUCACCAUCCAAAGACAAAAAACAAGGAAUAGCAAACAAGUGCUUCAGUUAACGAAGGAACGGAUGAGCACUAAGAAUUAACAAUGACAGGGAUGACUACAAUGAAAAAGUCCUUAACUUAGCAAUGAAGUUCUUCUAUCUUAUUGUUAAUAAUAAGUCAUAGAUAGGACCUGGGAUUUUCACAUCUUACAUGUUGGGUCCCCAGAAAAGCUACACCAAGUUUGAAACAGGCUAGAUCAAUUCAAAACAAUAGUUAUUGAGCCCCUACCAGUGUGUGUAUUUUUAACAGCCAGACAGAGGGUACAUUAGCUCAAAAGAAAAGAUAUUUUAUCAAACAAAAUAAUAAAUAAAGUUAUAAGCAUAGAUCAGAGUGUAUAUGUAGGGCACAG
This is a long non-coding RNA of Vombatus ursinus (common wombat), 1054 nucleotides long. RefSeq lists it as uncharacterized. The transcript has 3 exons. NCBI's taxonomy places the organism in Eukaryota, Metazoa, Chordata, Mammalia, Diprotodontia, Vombatidae. The record is from RefSeq and is a predicted model, not a curated record.